CGAACAGACGAGGAGCUUGCUCCUCUGACGUUAGCGGCGGACGGGUGAGUAACACGUGGAUAACCUACCUAUAAGACUGGGAUAACUUCGGGAAACCGGAGCUAAUACCGGAUAAUAUAUUGAACCGCAUGGUUCAAUAGUGAAAGACGGUUUUGCUGUCACUUAUAGAUGGAUCCGCGCCGCAUUAACUAGUUGGUAAGGUAACGGCUUACCAAGGCAACGAUGCGUAGCCGACCUGAGAGGGUGAUCGGCCACACUGGAACUGAGACACGGUCCAGACUCCUACGGGAGGCAGCAGUAGGGAAUCUUCCGCAAUGGGCGAAAGCCUGACGGAGCAACGCCGCGUGAGUGAUGAAGGUCUUCGGAUCGUAAAACUCUGUUAUUAGGGAAGAACAAAUGUGUAAGUAACUAUGCACGUCUUGACGGUACCUAAUCAGAAAGCCACGGCUAACUACGUGCCAGCAGCCGCGGUAAUACGUAGGUGGCAAGCGUUAUCCGGAAUUAUUGGGCGUAAAGCGCGCGUAGGCGGUUUUUUAAGUCUGAUGUGAAAGCCCACGGCUCAACCGUGGAGGGUCAUUGGAAACUGAAAAACUUGAGUGCAGAAGAGGAAAGUGGAAUUCCAUGUGUAGCGGUGAAAUGCGCAGAGAUAUGGAGGAACACCAGUGGCGAAGGCGACUUUCUGGUCUGUAACUGACGCUGAUGUGCGAAAGCGUGGGG
This 717-nucleotide ribosomal RNA is filed under the name uncultured Staphylococcus sp. RNAcentral describes it as "bacterial SSU rRNA". It matches the Rfam family "Bacterial small subunit ribosomal RNA", at positions 63 to 766 of the family's 1533-position model. The record is from RNAcentral. Lineage: Bacteria; Bacillati; Bacillota; Bacilli; Caryophanales; Staphylococcaceae.